RNAcentral lists this transfer RNA (67 nucleotides) under human gut metagenome. It matches the Rfam family "tRNA". From Rfam's summary of the family: Transfer RNA (tRNA) molecules are approximately 80 nucleotides in length. Their secondary structure includes four short double-helical elements and three loops (D, anti-codon, and T loops). Further hydrogen bonds mediate the characteristic L-shaped molecular structure. tRNAs have two regions of fundamental functional importance: the anti-codon, which is responsible for specific mRNA codon recognition, and the 3' end, to which the tRNAs corresponding amino acid is attached (by aminoacyl-tRNA synthetases). tRNAs cope with the degeneracy of the genetic code in two manners: having more than one tRNA (with a specific anti-codon) for a particular amino acid; and 'wobble' base-pairing, i.e. permitting non-standard base-pairing at the 3rd anti-codon position. The record is from RNAcentral. RNAcentral also lists the same sequence under 1 other name.
GCUAUAGCUCAGCAGGAUAGAGCGACCGCCUCCUAAGCGGUAGGCCGGAGGUUCAAAUCCUCUUAGC